Molecule: ribosomal RNA, 821 nt
Filed under: uncultured Alphaproteobacteria bacterium
Lineage: Bacteria; Pseudomonadati; Pseudomonadota; Alphaproteobacteria
Description: bacterial SSU rRNA
Rfam family: Bacterial small subunit ribosomal RNA
Source: RNAcentral
GUUUGAUCCUGGCUCAGAACGAACGCUGGCGGCAUGCCUAACACAUGCAAGUCGAACGUGAUCCAGGCUUCGGCCUGGUGAAAGUGGCAGACGGGUGAGUAACGCGUGGGAACCUGCCCUGUGGUAGGGAAUAACCGUGGGAAACUGCGGCUAAUACCCUAUGAGUCCUUCGGGAGAAAGAUUUAUCGCCAUAGGAGGGGCCCGCGUCGGAUUAGGUAGUUGGUGGGGUAACGGCCUACCAAGCCUUCGAUCCGUAGCUGGUCUGAGAGGAUGAUCAGCCACACUGGGACUGAGAUACGGCCCAGACUCCUACGGGAGGCAGCAGUGGGGAAUAUUGGACAAUGGGGGCAACCCUGAUCCAGCAAUGCCGCGUGGAUGAUGAAGGCCUUCGGGUUGUAAAGUCCUUUCGGCGGGGAAGAUGAUGACGGUACCCGCAGAAGAAGCCCCGGCUAACUUCGUGCCAGCAGCCGCGGUAAUACGAAGGGGGCUAGCGUUGUUCGGAAUUACUGGGCGUAAAGGGCGCGUAGGCUGUGCUGUAAGUCAGGCGUGAAAGCCCCGGGCUCAACCUGGGAAUUGCGUUUGAUACUGCGGCGCUGGAAGGUGGGAGAGGAUGGCGGAAUUCCCAGUGUAGAGGUGAAAUUCGUAGAUAUUGGGAAGAACACCGGUGGCGAAGGCGGCCAUCUGGCCCACAUUUGACGCUGAGGCGCGAAAGCGUGGGGAGCAAACAGGAUUAGAUACCCUGGUAGUCCACGCUGUAAACGAUGAGUGCUAGACGUCGGGGAGCUUGCUCUUCGGUGUCGCCGCUAACGCAUUAAGCACUC